CUUCCCUGUAGGUGUCAGCUCUAGAGAUGAGAAGAGUGAAUGAACUCCAGCAGAAGUGCUGUCAAAAGUUACACAUCUGCCCUGCGAAGGAUCAGCUAAGGAAUCCCUGCUUACCCUGCUUUACAAAGCUCAACGUCAGUAUUCAUGACUUAAAAGAACAGCCAGAAAUCAGUACAUAUUUUGCCUUCAAACUUCAAAUGAAACUAAAAAAAAGUUUUGAACUUCUGUUCUGCUGGCAAUCAACACAGCUGCAUAUUACUAUUUGGAGUGCAUGCGUUGUGAUUAAUUUAAGGAUGCUGAAUUUUCAUGGACAUAUACAAAGAAAGGAAUUCCAAAUUAUAGCGCCUCUGACAGAUUUCCUGGUUGCUUGAAAGAAAGACUGCACUGCUGUUGCUGAAUUCCUUAGAAAAUAUUAAAUAACUGUUACUUAUCUUAUUGUUCUAGAACAUCAAGAAAUAGAAAGACAGAUAUAUAAACGUUUUACAGUUUUAUUUUUUGUUUGUCACGUGUGAAACUGUGGAAAUAAUGACCCCAGAGGAACCAUACUUGCUGGAUCUUGAAGAGAAGAAACUCAGCCACUUAAAUAGUUCUUCCGAUGAACUUAGUAACUAUACUGCAGAAGAAAAAGAUUUCUGGACCUCACCUGGAUUUCUUUAUGCAAUCCCAACAAUGUAUGGCAUCAUCAUUUUAAUAGGGUUGACUGGCAACAUUACACUUAUCAAGAUUUUCUGUACAGUAAAGUCAAUGAGGAAUGUACCUAAUUUGUUCAUCUCUAGCUUGGCACUUGGAGACCUGCUACUUUUGGUGACCUGUGCCCCUGUUGAUGCCAGCAGGUAUCUGGCAGAUGAAUGGCUUUUUGGCAGGGUUGGCUGCAAACUGAUCCCUUUCAUCCAGCUGACAUCUGUAGGGGUGUCUGUCUUUACACUGACAGCUUUGUCUGCUGACAGGUACAAAGCCAUUGUUAGGCCGAUGGAUAUUCAGACGUCUAAUGCCCUGCUGAAGAUUUGUCUCAGAGCUGCGCUUAUCUGGAUUUUAUCUAUGCUACUUGCCGUUCCUGAAGCAGUCUUCUCAGACAUGCAUCCAUUCUAUGACAAAGGAACAAACAAAACAUUUUUUAGCUGUGCACCAUACCCACACUCUGAUGACCUGCAUCCAAAAAUCCACUCAAUGGCAUCUUUCUUGAUAUUUUACAUCAUUCCACUGUCAAUUAUUUCAGUGUAUUAUUAUUUUAUUGCUAAAAACUUGAUCAGGAGUGCUUAUAAUAUGCCAGUGGAAGCAAAUAUACAUGUCAGAAGGCAGAUUGAAUCACGUAAAAGACUUGCAAAAACGGUUUUGGUGUUUGUAGGUCUCUUUGCCAUCUGCUGGCUACCUAAUCACAUCAUCUACCUGUAUCGUUCCUACCACUAUUCUGAAGUGGAUACGUCUGUUUUGCACUUUAUCACCAGUAUCUUUGCUCGAUUAUUGGCCUUCACCAACUCCUGUGUGAAUCCUUUUGCUCUCUACCUUCUAAGCAAAAGCUUCCGGAAGCAGUUCAACAGCCAGCUGUUUUGCUGCAGGACUCAUCUCCUAAUGAGGUCGCAGAGCAUGGGUAGGAGCACUACACGAAUGACCUCACUCAAAAGUACCAAUCAUUCAGUAGCGAGCUUCAGUCUCAUCAAUGGCAACCACAUAUGUCAUGAAGGCUGUGUAUAGGGAGCAAAGAGCGACAAAAAGCUGAGGAAUUACAUUGACUUAUAAUUUAGGCAUCCAUUACCAUUGCUUAUGCCAAUCAUGUGUGAUCUAUCUGGGUCCAUGUACGUAGUAGAAACUGUGAAUCGAGAUGGCAAAGUCCUACCAAUACUCGACAAGCACAUUUGCCUCAAACUGAAAAAUGACUACAGUGUUUAGGAUGCCACAAACAAACAAAAAAAAUAACUCAUAAGAAAAAAAUGAGAAGAAAUUAAACUAUAAUUUCUGGAUAUUGAACUUCUUUUGCUACUGUCUGAAUUAAUGAAACAUCUUCAUCACUGCAUUCAUUGCAAAAGGGAGCUGCACAAAACAGUGCAGAUGUUUAUGUCCAAUGAACACAUACAGAUUUCAUUUUAAUCAUCAGAAAUGUCUUGUCCACGACAGUGGAGAAAAUUAUAUUUUAUGUCCGAUACUUCAGAUGCUGCAUCAUAUUUGGUUUAACAGCUCAUAUAAGCCUGGCCACAUGUAUUUUUCAGCCAUAUCUGUUUAUUUCCAUUAAUCAGAAUAAUUACAUGUGAACUGGUUUAGUUGUGAAGGCUAUUGCAAAUAAUUAAAAAAAAAUACAGAUUUUCACAAUGUUUCUUUAUUUUAUUAUGUUGCUGCAAUCUAGUUCCCUUCUACCAGAUAACCUGUGUGCAUAUUUGUUACUGAAAUCAAAUGUAUUACAGUGAGAAGUAAAGCUCUCUGACUACAUUAGAGACAGUGAUCUCAAUUUGUAUUCUGAAUCCACUGGCUGCAUCUGCUAUAUUCUAUUUCCUUAGUUGGUGCUACAGACUCAUGAUUUUUUUCAUUUCCUCUUGAAUAACAGUUUAUCCAAACCCCAGAAAAUUAAAAGAUGCUGAACUGUAUUGCUGAAUAGUCACAUAAAACAAACCUUAUGAGUACGGAGUUAUUAUUGAAUAAAACUUUAGUCUUGUACCUCACAAAGUUAUAUGGCCUGCAUUUUAUUUUCAGUAAUGUUGUGUACAAUCUUUACUAUAAUUGAUAUUUUUAAAUUUUUUACAGCUUGUGCACUGUGAUAGAAUGUUUAAGGCACCUUUAAAUGAUAAAAGUUUGGUUAUGUAUAUACAUAUGUUGUAUAUAAAAUAAAUCUUUAUUCUGUGAAA
Molecule: RNA transcript, 2834 nt
Organism: Protopterus annectens (West African lungfish)
Lineage: Eukaryota; Metazoa; Chordata; Ceratodontiformes; Protopteridae
Gene: GRPR
Gene name: gastrin releasing peptide receptor
Exons: 4
Source: RefSeq, a predicted model, not a curated record